GAUGAACGCUGGCGGCGUGCCUAAUACAUGCAAGUCGAGCGAACAGACGAGGAGCUUGCUCCUCUGACGUUAGCGGCGGACGGGUGAGUAACACGUGGAUAACCUACCUAUAAGACUGGGAUAACUUCGGGAAACCGGAGCUAAUACCGGAUAAUAUAUUGAACCGCAUGGUUCAAUAGUGAAAGACGGUUUUGCUGUCACUUAUAGAUGGAUCCGCGCCGCAUUAGCUAGUUGGUAAGGUAACGGCUUACCAAGGCAACGAUGCGUAGCCGACCUGAGAGGGGGGUCGGGCCCCCGGGACACGGAACCCGGGCCCAGCCCCCGAGGGGGGGACGAGUGGGGAUGCUUCCGGAAGGGGCGGAAGCCCUGCCGGGGCACCGCGGGUGGGGUAAUGAGGUUUUUGGGUUGAAAAACCUCUUUUUUGGGGGAAAAAAAAGUGUAAAGUUACCUAGCCCCGUUUUCGGGGCCCUAAAAAAAAACCCCCGGGAACCAUCCG
RNAcentral lists this ribosomal RNA (496 nucleotides) under uncultured bacterium. RNAcentral's name for it is "partial 16S ribosomal RNA". It matches the Rfam family "Bacterial small subunit ribosomal RNA", at positions 28 to 507 of the family's 1533-position model. The record is from RNAcentral.